AUGCCGUGGUGUGGGCAUGCUUGAAUGUACUCCUGGAGACGCUCACAGACUUCCAAGAUGCUCUCAUCUGGUAAUUGCUGAAUUCCGGUAAUUGUCGGUGUUU
Molecule: small nucleolar RNA, 103 nt
Organism: Panicum virgatum (switchgrass)
Lineage: Eukaryota; Viridiplantae; Streptophyta; Magnoliopsida; Poales; Poaceae
Source: RefSeq, a predicted model, not a curated record